RNAcentral lists this ribosomal RNA (244 nucleotides) under uncultured bacterium. Its description in RNAcentral is "partial 16S ribosomal RNA". It matches the Rfam family "Bacterial small subunit ribosomal RNA", at positions 528 to 772 of the family's 1533-position model. The record is from RNAcentral.
UAGGGAGCGAGCGUUAUCCGGAAUUAUUGGGUGUAAAGGGUGCGUAGGCGGCAUAAUAAGUCAGUGGUGAAAGCCCGGAGCUUAACUCCGGUAAGCCAUUGAAACUGUUAAGCUUGAGUAUGGUAGAGGCAAGCGGAAUUUCUAGUGUAGCGGUAAAAUGCGUAGAUAUUAGAAGGAACACCAGUGGCGAAGGCGGCUUGCUGGGCCAAAACUGACGCUGAGGCACGAAAGCGUGGGGAGCAAA